This 773-nucleotide unclassified non-coding RNA is filed under the name Juglans regia (Persian walnut). RNAcentral's name for it is "partial contains small subunit ribosomal RNA, internal transcribed spacer 1, 5.8S ribosomal RNA, internal transcribed spacer 2, and large subunit ribosomal RNA". The stretch from base 337 to 492 matches the Rfam family "5.8S ribosomal RNA". Lineage: Eukaryota; Viridiplantae; Streptophyta; Magnoliopsida; Fagales; Juglandaceae. The record is from RNAcentral.
CCUUAUCAUUUUUGAGGAAGGAGAAGUCGUAACAAGGUUUCCGUAGGUGAACCUGCGGAAGGAUCAUUGUCGAUACCUGCCCAGCAGAACGACCUGUGAACAUGUAAUAACCUUCUGGGUGGGGGUGUAAUGCCCCCUCCCAAAAAACGGUUGGGAGGGCACGUUGAGAUAUGCCCACCGCUCCUCGUGUGUGGUUGGUCAAUCUUCUCGUUCCCUUCCCGAUCGAACAAUGAACCCCGGCGCGGUCUGCGCCAAGGAACUUAAACAAGGAGUAACCACGGGCGCCCCGGAAACGGUGUGCGCGUUGUUGGUGACAUCUUUACCAUGAUACAUAACGACUCUCGGCAACGGAUAUCUCGGCUCUCGCAUCGAUGAAGAACGUAGCGAAAUGCGAUACUUGGUGUGAAUUGCAGAAUCCCGCGAAUCAUCGAGUCUUUGAACGCAAGUUGCGCCCGAAGCCAUUCGGCCGAGGGCACGUCUGCCUGGGUGUCACGCAUCGUUGCCCCAACCCCAAACACUUCUUAUGAUGUGUGGGGUGCGGGGAAGACAUUGGCCUCCCGUGUGCUUCUGCUCGCGGUUAGCCUAAAAGUGAGUCCUAGGCGACGAGCGCCACGACAAUCGGUGGUUGAGAAACCCUCGUGACCCGUCGUGUGUUGCCCGUCGCUGUGAAGGUGCUCCUCGACCCUAUUGCGUCGUUCCUGCGACUCUACCAUCGCGACCCCAGGUCAGGCGGGAUUACCCGCUGAAUUUAAGCAUAUCAUAAAGCCGGAGGA